AAUAGAUACCCGGGUAGUCCUAGCCGUAAACGAUGGGUACUGGGUAGAAAGCGUGCCGAUGCGCCUUCUGCCGAAGCGAAAGUGUUAAGUACCCCGCCUGGGGAGUAUGGUCGCAAGGCUGAAACUCAAAGGAAUUGACGGGGGCUCACACCAGCGGUGGAGCAUGUGGCUUAAUUCGAGGCUACGCGAAGAACCUUAUCCUAGACUUGACAUGUACGGAUUAGCUCCCUGAAAGGGGAGUGACGCUCGCAAGAGUGGAACGUGCACAGGUGCUGCAUGGCUGUCGUCAGCUCGUGUUGUGAGAUGUCGGGUUAAGUCCCUUAACGAGCGAAACCCUUGUCCUUAGUUACCAGCGGUUCGGCCGGGAACUCUAAGGAGACUGCCGGUGUCAAGCCGGAGGAAGUGGGGAUGACGUCAAGUCCUCAUGGCCUUUAUGUCUAGGGCUGCACAUGUGCUACAAUGGGAAGUACAAAGGGAAGCAAGCUCGCGAGAGCAAGCAAAAUCCCAAAAAGCUUUCCUCAGUUCGGAUUGC
RNAcentral lists this ribosomal RNA (532 nucleotides) under uncultured bacterium. RNAcentral describes it as "bacterial SSU rRNA". It matches the Rfam family "Bacterial small subunit ribosomal RNA", at positions 777 to 1301 of the family's 1533-position model. The record is from RNAcentral.